RNAcentral lists this ribosomal RNA (942 nucleotides) under Triticum aestivum (bread wheat). RNAcentral describes it as "partial small subunit ribosomal RNA". Lineage: Eukaryota; Viridiplantae; Streptophyta; Magnoliopsida; Poales; Poaceae. The record is from RNAcentral.
AUGAAUGGAUCAGGAAGCUGCCGCCGUCGCCGCCGCUCCCGUCCACCCCCUCCCCCCGCUAAAGAGGCUGCCCUUGCAGUUCCUGGUGCCCGACACCAUCCCGAUCUCCACCUCUCUGGUCAAGGCCGUCGGCCGUGCGCAGCCGGCGGAGAAGUCGCGCGGUGGCGGGCGAGCUGGACUAGGUCAUCGGCAUCAACAAGGAGAUCUGACGCGUGGUGCGGAUCCUAUAGCGACGCGCAUGAACAACCCCGUCAUCACCAAGCCGCCGUCGCGGUCAACGUCGCCGGCGCCUCGCCGGCGCCAGAAUCAAUCAUCGCCGCCGGCACUCCAUCAUUGACGCUGGCGCCAGAGCCUGCCGGAACAUCUCGUCUUCGCCGUGAAUCGCGUGGUGGCCGAAACUCUAGUAGCCAACUUCUCCAGACUUCUCCAGUCAUCGUCUGCGGCAAUUGCAGAUCGCCGGAGUGGCCUCCUCUGGCCAUAGAGAGGCCUUGCCGUUUGCCGCCGCUGUCGUCGGCAGUCAUGUGGCGGAUUGAAGCGCCGGAGGGCGCCGCUUCGACGCGCCUACAGAGGAGGGCGUCGUCAACCAUGGGGUGCCUCAGCCGCCUGCAUCGCGCGCUGGUGCUGCGCCGCUGGAGCGCUGUCGAGGCCGAGGGUCCUCGUGUCCUUGGGGCCGGAGGGAGGCUAGUUGAUGCCGACACAAACAGAGUGAUGCCACAUCGAUCAUACAGAUGGGAAGAGAUGACAAGCCUGAGGGACCACGCAUUGUUCUUGGGGCCAACGUGUGCCAAGGCGAUGCACGUGCCGUUGGGUCAAAGGGGUGGCCCGUGUAGAAACCAUGUCUACUACACCCACCAUCGAUGCUACGCACGAAAGGAACGUCUGCCCGAUGACGCCAAGGAGUUCAUGACAAGUUUGUUUUUAGUAAAAAUCAAUCCCGUGUAA